UUUUCGCAAUAGGGAUCGCAGUGAAAAUCCUUUUUUCCGCAGCGGCGAAGCCGCCGCGGAAAAAAGAUUGCAGCGGAGAGCCCGACCCGAG
RNAcentral lists this small RNA (91 nucleotides) under Kaistella treverensis. RNAcentral's name for it is "Chryseobacterium sp. IMMIB L-1519 Flavo-1 RNA". It matches the Rfam family "Flavo-1 RNA". Lineage: Bacteria; Pseudomonadati; Bacteroidota; Flavobacteriia; Flavobacteriales; Weeksellaceae. The record is from Rfam by way of RNAcentral.